Molecule: ribosomal RNA, 373 nt
Filed under: uncultured bacterium
Lineage: Bacteria
Description: bacterial SSU rRNA
Rfam family: Bacterial small subunit ribosomal RNA
Source: RNAcentral
AACGAACGCUGGCGGCAGGCCUAACACAUGCAAGUCGAACGCCGUAGCAAUACGGAGUGGCAGACGGGUGAGUAACACGUGGGAACGUACCCUUCGGUUCGGGAUAACUCAGGGAAACUUGAGCUAAUACCGGAUACGUCCGAGAGGAGAAAGAUUUAUCGCCGAGGGAUCGGCCCGCGUCUGAUUAGCUUGUUGGUGAGGUAACGGCUCACCAAGGCGACGAUCAGUAGCUGGUCNGAGAGGAUGAUCAGCCACAUUGGGACUGAGACACGGCCCAAACUACCUACGGGAGGGCAGCAGUGGGGAAGUAUUGGACAAUGGGCGCAAGCCUGAUCCAGCCAUGCCGCGUGAGUGAUGAAGGCCCUAGGGUUGU